AUUGAACGCUGGCGGCAUGCCUUACACAUGCAAGUCGAACGGCAGCACGGGAGCAAUCCUGGUGGCGAGUGGCGAACGGGUGAGUAAUACAUCGGAACGUGCCCAGUAGUGGGGGAUAACCCGGCGAAAGCCGGACUAAUACCUCAUACGACCUACGGUUGAAAGCGGGGGAUCGCAAGACCUCGCGCUAUCGGAGCGGCCGAUGUCAGAUUAGCUAGUUGGUGGGGUAAAGGCCUACCAAGGCGACGAUCUGUAGCUGGUCUGAGAGGACGACCAGCCACACUGGGACUGAGACACGGCCCAGACUCCUACGGGAGGAAGCAGUGGGGAAUUUUGGACAAUGGGCGAAAGCCUGAUCCAGCCAUGCCGCGUGCGGGAAGAAGGCCUUCGGGUUGUAAACCGAUUUUGUCAGGGAAGAAACGCUCCGGGCUAAUACCACGGAGUAAUGACGGUACCUGAAGAAUAAGCACCGGCUAACUACGUG
This 484-nucleotide ribosomal RNA is filed under the name uncultured bacterium. RNAcentral's name for it is "partial 16S ribosomal RNA". It matches the Rfam family "Bacterial small subunit ribosomal RNA", at positions 29 to 507 of the family's 1533-position model. The record is from RNAcentral.